This is a long non-coding RNA of Sorghum bicolor (sorghum), 348 nucleotides long. RefSeq lists it as uncharacterized. Lineage: Eukaryota; Viridiplantae; Streptophyta; Magnoliopsida; Poales; Poaceae. The record is from RefSeq and is a predicted model, not a curated record. The transcript has 2 exons.
CCCAUGUCCAAGCCUAAAACAAACCGCAAGUCCACAAGCCAGGCAACUAGGCAAGCAAGGUGCGGCCGCGGCGACCAGGCGUGCGCAGCGGCGGCGGACAGCUACCGGAGUGGGUCAGCAGCUCCAGCGAGGAAAGGUCUCAUUUUGUUUGUGAAGGAUUUACUUGCUGCGUGGAAAGAUUGCUCGAAGAAUUACGCUAGUAAGUCCAGCAAUGUUUGGAUACAGUGUUCCUUGGUUUGUGUUUGAAGAUGAAAUCACGAGAUUAAAGUUACACAGGUUCCCAACUAGAUUGAAGUACUGAUGUAUUAAGAGUGAUUUUGUUAAAAUCGUCAUACAUGGGUUACAUCU